RNAcentral lists this ribosomal RNA (593 nucleotides) under uncultured bacterium. RNAcentral describes it as "bacterial SSU rRNA". It matches the Rfam family "Bacterial small subunit ribosomal RNA", at positions 88 to 697 of the family's 1533-position model. The record is from RNAcentral.
UAUUAAACUGGCGCACGGGUGAGUAACACGUGGGUUAUCUACCCUUACCACAGACAUAACCCAGGGAAACUUGGAUUACUAUCUGAUGAGGCCUCCGGUACAAAGCUACGGCGGGUAUGGAUGAGUCUGCGUAUGAUUAGCUAGCCGGUAAGGUAAUGGCUUACCAAGGCGACGAUGAUUAACUGGGCUGACAGGACGAUCAUGCACACUGAAACUGAUACACGGCCCUGACUCCUACGGGAGGCCCCAACGACGAAUUUUGGACAAUGGGGGAAACCCUGAUCCAGGGACGCCGCGCGGGGGAUGACUGGCCUAUGGCCUGAAAACCACUGUCAGCAUAGAAAAAAAUGCUCCUUUGGAGCCCGGGACUGUAUCUGCAGAGGAAGGACCGGCUAACUACGUGCCAGCAGCCGCGGUAAUACGUAGGGUCCAAGCGUUGUCCGGAAUUACUGGGUAUAAAGGGUGCGCAGGCGGACUCGUGCGUCGAAGGUUAAAGGCCAUGGAUCAACCAUGAAAAUGCCCUCCAUACGUCGAGCCUUGAACAUGAUAGAGGACUAUGCAAUUCCUGGAGUAGCAAUGAAGUGCGUAUAUAU